AAGACGGUCUUGCUGUCACUUAUAGAUGGAUCCGCGCUGCAUUAGCUAGUUGGUAAGGUAACGGCUUACCAAGGCAACGAUGCAUAGCCGACCUGAGAGGGUGAUCGGCCACACUGGAACUGAGACACGGUCCAGACUCCUACGGGAGGCAGCAGUAGGGAAUCUUCCGCAAUGGGCGAAAGCCUGACGGAGCAACGCCGCGUGAGUGAUGAAGGUCUUCGGAUCGUAAAACUCUGUUAUUAGGGAAGAACAUAUGUGUAA
Molecule: ribosomal RNA, 261 nt
Filed under: Staphylococcus aureus
Lineage: Bacteria; Bacillati; Bacillota; Bacilli; Caryophanales; Staphylococcaceae
Description: partial 16S ribosomal RNA
Rfam family: Bacterial small subunit ribosomal RNA
Source: RNAcentral